Olea europaea var. sylvestris is the source of this 553-nucleotide long non-coding RNA. RefSeq lists it as uncharacterized. NCBI's taxonomy places the organism in Eukaryota, Viridiplantae, Streptophyta, Magnoliopsida, Lamiales, Oleaceae. The record is from RefSeq and is a predicted model, not a curated record. The transcript is spliced from 3 exons.
UUUUGAGUUUUCUACACCUAGACCAUGAGUUAGAUUGUUCUCUAUUUUGGAUUUGGCUUUGUUUGGAGUGUUCAUUUACAGGAGGCAUCAACUCGUGCUCGGAUAAUCAUGAGGGUCCAUUGCUUAGUGAAAACCAAAAGGAGUCAUAGAGCUCGAAGUGUUAUACCUGGACAACGAGAAAGUUCCCUCAACUUAUAGCGUGGCAGAGGAGGCCACCAUACCCAUCAAAAAUAACGAUGUUGUUAACACAAAGAGGCAAUAAUCGACACACAUUCGAUUUCAUGUAGCAUCUAGUACGACUCCAUACACCAAGGAGAGGAAAAAAAGAGUAAAGAAAUAGUGUGACGAAAUUUGUCAAUACUACACAAGAAUUGAUUUGUGUACUAAAUGACUCCAUAUUGCUCCCCUCCAAGAAUGUGGGUAUAAACAUGAUUUGGUGGUUGCAUCCACAUGUGGUUACACAUUUUAUCAUUUCUCAUACUUGUUGAAUUGUUCAAAUAGGACGAGAAAAAUUGUUGAGUUAUGUAUUGUAGUUUUGUCAAGGAUAAAUAUA